Molecule: ribosomal RNA, 901 nt
Filed under: uncultured bacterium
Lineage: Bacteria
Description: bacterial SSU rRNA
Rfam family: Bacterial small subunit ribosomal RNA
Source: RNAcentral
ACGCUGGCUACAGGCUUAACACAUGCAAGUCGAGGGGAAACGACGGAGAAGCUUGCUUCCUUGGGCGUCGACCGGCGCACGGGUGAGUAACGCGUAUCCAACCUGCCUCUGACUGAGGGAUAACCCGUCGAAAGUCGGCCUAAUACCUCAUGGUAUCGUCUGCGGGCAUCCAAUGACGAUUAAAGAUUUCAUCGGUCAGGGAUGGGGAUGCGUCUGAUUAGCUUGUUGGCGGGGUAACGGCCCACCAAGGCGACGAUCAGUAGGGGUUCUGAGAGGAAGGUCCCCCACAUUGGAACUGAGACACGGUCCAAACUCCUACGGGAGGCAGCAGUGAGGAAUAUUGGUCAAUGGGCGAGAGCCUGAACCAGCCAAGUAGCGUGCAGGAUGACGGCCCUAUGGGUUGUAAACUGCUUUUAUGCGGGGAUAAAGUGAGGGACGUGUCCUUCAUUGCAGGUACCGCAUGAAUAAGGACCGGCUAAUUCCGUGCCAGCAGCCGCGGUAAUACGGAAGGUCCGGGCGUUAUCCGGAUUUAUUGGGUUUAAAGGGAGCGUAGGCCGUGGAUUAAGCGUGUUGUGAAAUGCAGGUGCUCAACGUCUACACUGCAGCGCGAACUGGUCCACUAGAGUGUGCACAACGCAGGCGGAAUUCGUCGUGUAGCGGUGAAAUGCUUAGAUAUGACGAAGAACUCCGAUUGCGAAGGCAGCUUGCGGGAGCACAACUGACGCUGAAGCUCGAAAGUGCGGGUAUCGAACAGGAUUAGAUACCCUGGUAGUCCGCACGGUAAACGAUGGAUGCCCGUUGUCAGGCUGUUUCAGCCUGGUGACCAAGCGAAAGCAUUAAGCAUCCCACCUGGGGAGUACGCCGGCAACGGUGAAACUCAAGGAAUUGACGGGGGCCCGCA